AACGAACGCUGGCGGCAGGCUUAACACAUGCAAGUCGAACGCGAAAUCACCUUCGGGUGGUGGAGAGUGGCAGACGGGUGAGUAACGCGUGGGAACCUACCUAGUGGUACGGAAUAACUCAGGGAAACUUGGGCUAAUACCGUAUGUGCCCGAAAGGGGAAAGAUUCAUCGCCACUAGAGGGGCCCGCGUCGGAUUAGCUUGUUCGUGAGGUAACGGCUCACCAAGGCGACGCUCCGUAGCUGGUCUGAGAGGAUGAUCAGCCACACCGGGACCGAGACACGGCCCAGACUCCUACUGGAGGCAGCAGUGGGGAAUAUUGGACAAUGGGCGCAAGCCUGAUCCAGCCAUGCCGCGUGAGUGAUGAAGGCCCUAGGGUUGUAAAGCUCUUUCGGCGGGGACGAUAAUGACGGUACCCGCAGAAGAAGCCCCGGCUAACUUCGUGCCAGCAGCCGCCGCCG
Molecule: ribosomal RNA, 459 nt
Filed under: uncultured bacterium
Lineage: Bacteria
Description: partial 16S ribosomal RNA
Rfam family: Bacterial small subunit ribosomal RNA
Source: RNAcentral